AAAUUGAAGAGUUUGAUCAUGGCUCAGAUUGAACGCUGGCGGCAGGCCUAACACAUGCAAGUCGAACGGUAACAGGAAGCAGCUUGCUGCUUCGCUGACGAGUGGCGGACGGGUGAGUAAUGUCUGGGAAACUGCCUGAUGGAGGGGGAUAACUACUGGAAACGGUGGCUAAUACCGCAUAACGUCGCAAGACCAAAGAGGGGGACCUUCGGGCCUCUUGCCAUCAGAUGUGCCCAGAUGGGAUUAGCUUGUUGGUGAGGUAACGGCUCACCAAGGCGACGAUCCCUAGCUGGUCUGAGAGGAUGACCAGCCACACUGGAACUGAGACACGGUC
This 334-nucleotide ribosomal RNA is filed under the name Salmonella enterica. RNAcentral describes it as "bacterial SSU rRNA". It matches the Rfam family "Bacterial small subunit ribosomal RNA", at positions 1 to 331 of the family's 1533-position model. The record is from RNAcentral. Lineage: Bacteria; Pseudomonadati; Pseudomonadota; Gammaproteobacteria; Enterobacterales; Enterobacteriaceae.